AUUUAUAUAGUUUAAUUAAAAACAUUACAUUUUCAUUGUAAUAAUAAAAUAAAUAUAUUUUUAUAAAUAAUAUUUACAUAUAUAUAUA
Molecule: transfer RNA, 88 nt
Filed under: Junonia adulatrix
Lineage: Eukaryota; Metazoa; Arthropoda; Insecta; Lepidoptera; Nymphalidae
Description: tRNA-Glu
Source: RNAcentral